RNAcentral lists this transfer RNA (76 nucleotides) under Candidatus Moraniibacteriota bacterium. RNAcentral's name for it is "tRNA-Arg". It matches the Rfam family "tRNA". From Rfam's summary of the family: Transfer RNA (tRNA) molecules are approximately 80 nucleotides in length. Their secondary structure includes four short double-helical elements and three loops (D, anti-codon, and T loops). Lineage: Bacteria; Candidatus Moraniibacteriota. The record is from RNAcentral.
GCGCUCGUAGCUCAGUGGAUAGAGCAUCUGGUUGCGGUCCAGAGGGUCGCAGGUUCGAUUCCUGCCGAGCGCACCA